UUAAGCGACUAAGCGUACACGGUGGAUGCCCUGGCAGUCAGAGGCGAUGAAGGACGUGCUAAUCUGCGAAAAGCGUCGGUAAGGUGAUAUGAACCGUUAUAACCGGCGAUGUCCGAAUGGGGAAACCCAGUGCAAUUCGUUGCACUAUCGUUAACUGAAUACAUAGGUUAACGAGGCGAACCGGGGGAACUGAAACAUCUAAGUACCCCGAGGAAAAGAAAUCAACCGAGAUUCCCCCAGUAGCGGCGAGCGAACGGGGAGCAGCCCAGAGUCUGAAUCAGCUUGUGUGUUAGUGGAACGGUCUGGAAAGUCCGACGGUACAGGGUGAUAGUCCCGUACACCAAAAUGCACAGGCUGUGAACUCGAAGAGUAGGGCGGGACACGUGGUAUCCUGUCUGAAUAUGGGGGGACCAUCCUCCAAGGCUAAAUACUCCUGACUGACCGAUAGUGAACCAGUACCGUGAGGGAAAGGCGAAAAGAACCCCGGCGAGGGGAGUGAAAAAGAACCUGAAACCGUGUACGUACAAGCAGUGGGAGCACCUUCGGGUGUGACUGCGUACCUUUUGUAUAAUGGGUCAGCGACUUAUAUUCUGUAGCAAGGUUAACCGUAUAGGGGAGCCGCAGGGAAACCGAGUCUUAACUGGGCGUUAAGUUGCAGGGUAUAGACCCGAAACCCGGUGAUCUAGCCAUGGGCAGGUUGAAGGUUGGGUAACACUAACUGGAGGACCGAACCGACUAAUGUUGAAAAAUUAGCGGAUGACUUGUGGCUGGGGGUGAAAGGCCAAUCAAACCGGGAGAUAGCUGGUUCUCCCCGAAAGCUAUUUAGGUAGCGCCUCGUGAAUUCAUCUUCGGGGGUAGAGCACUGUUUCGGCUAGGGGGUCAUCCCGACUUACCAACCCGAUGCAAACUACGAAUACCGAAGAAUGUUAUCACGGGAGACACACGGCGGGUGCUAACGUCCGUCGUGAAGAGGGAAACAACCCAGACCGCCAGCUAAGGUCCCAAAGUCAUGGUUAAGUGGGAAACGAUGUGGGAAGGCACAGACAGCCAGGAUGUUGGCUUAGAAGCAGCCAUCAUUUAAAGAAAGCGUAAUAGCUCACUGGUCGAGUCGGCCUGCGCGGAAGAUGUAACGGGGCUAAACCAUGCACCGAAGCUGCGGCAGCGACACUAUGUGUUGUUGGGUAGGGGAGCGUUCUGUAAGCCUGCGAAGGUGUGCUGUGAGGCAUGCUGGAGGUAUCAGAAGUGCGAAUGCUGACAUAAGUAACGAUAAAGCGGGUGAAAAGCCCGCUCGCCGGAAGACCAAGGGUUCCUGUCCAACGUUAAUCGGGGCAGGGUGAGUCGACCCCUAAGGCGAGGCCGAAAGGCGUAGUCGAUGGGAAACAGGUUAAUAUUCCUGUACUUGGUGUUACUGCGAAGGGGGGACGGAGAAGGCUAUGUUAGCCGGGCGACGGUUGUCCCGGUUUAAGCAUGUAGGCUGGUUAUCCAGGCAAAUCCGGAUAAUCAAGGCUGAGGUGUGAUGACGAGGCACUACGGUGCUGAAGUAACAAAUGCCCUGCUUCCAGGAAAAGCCUCUAAGCAUCAGGUAACAUNAAAUCGUACCCCAAACCGACACAGGUGGUCAGGUAGAGAAUACCAAGGCGCUUGAGAGAACUCGGGUGAAGGAACUAGGCAAAAUGGUGCCGUAACUUCGGGAGAAGGCACGCUGGUGUGUAGGUGAAGUCCCUGCGGAUGGAGCUGAGACCAGUCGAAGAUACCAGCUGGCUGCAACUGUUUAUUAAAAACACAGCACUGUGCAAACACGAAAGUGGACGUAUACGGUGUGACGCCUGCCCGGUGCCGGAAGGUUAAUUGAUGGGGUUAUCCGUAAGGAGAAGCUCUUGAUCGAAGCCCCGGUAAACGGCGGCCGUAACUAUAACGGUCCUAAGGUAGCGAAAUUCCUUGUCGGGUAAGUUCCGACCUGCACGAAUGGCGUAAUGAUGGCCAGGCUGUCUCCACCCGAGACUCAGUGAAAUUGAACUCGCUGUGAAGAUGCAGUGUACCCGCGGCAAGACGGAAAGACCCCGUGAACCUUUACUAUAGCUUGACACUGAACAUUGAGCCUUGAUGUGUAGGAUAGGUGGGAGGCUUUGAAGCGUGGACGCCAGUCUGCGUGGAGCCAACCUUGAAAUACCACCCUUUAAUGUUUGAUGUUCUAACGUUGGCCCCUGACCGGGGUUGCGGACAGUGUCUGGUGGGUAGUUUGACUGGGGCGGUCUCCUCCCAAAGCGUAACGGAGGAGCACGAAGGUUAGCUAAUCCUGGUCGGACAUCAGGAGGUUAGUGCAAUGGCAUAAGCUAGCUUGACUGCGAGCGUGACGGCGCGAGCAGGUGCGAAAGCAGGUCAUAGUGAUCCGGUGGUUCUGAAUGGAAGGGCCAUCGCUCAACGGAUAAAAGGUACUCCGGGGAUAACAGGCUGAUACCGCCCAAGAGUUCAUAUCGACGGCGGUGUUUGGCACCUCGAUGUCGGCUCAUCACAUCCUGGGGCUGAAGUAGGUCCCAAGGGUAUGGCUGUUCGCCAUUUAAAGUGGUACGCGAGCUGGGUUUAGAACGUCGUGAGACAGUUCGGUCCCUAUCUGCCGUGGGCGCUGGAGAAUUGAGGGGGGCUGCUCCUAGUACGAGAGGACCGGAGUGGACGCAUCACUGGUGUUCGGGUUGUCAUGCCAAUGGCACUGCCCGGUAGCUAAAUGCGGAAGAGAUAAGUGCUGAAAGCAUCUAAGCACGAAACUUGCCCCGAGAUGAGUUCUCCCUGAGACUUUAAGUCUCCUGAAGGAACGUUAAAGACGAUGACGUUGAUAGGCCGGGUGUGUAAGCGCAGCGAUGCGUUGAGCUAACCGGUACUAAUGAACCGUGAGGCUUAACCUU
RNAcentral lists this ribosomal RNA (2900 nucleotides) under Klebsiella pneumoniae. RNAcentral's name for it is "bacterial LSU rRNA". It matches the Rfam family "Bacterial large subunit ribosomal RNA". The record is from RNAcentral. Lineage: Bacteria; Pseudomonadati; Pseudomonadota; Gammaproteobacteria; Enterobacterales; Enterobacteriaceae.